Molecule: ribosomal RNA, 254 nt
Filed under: uncultured bacterium
Lineage: Bacteria
Description: partial 16S ribosomal RNA
Rfam family: Bacterial small subunit ribosomal RNA
Source: RNAcentral
UACGGAGGGUGCAAGCGUUAUCCGGAAUCACUGGGUUUAAAGGGUGCGUAGGCGGUCUUGUAAGUCAGUCGUGAAAUCGCUGGGCUCAACCUAUGCAAUUGCGAUUGAUACUGCGAGACUUGAAUGGGGUUAAGGCAGGCGGAAUGUGGCAUGUAGCGGUGAAAUGCAUAGAUAUGCCAUAGAACACCGAUUGCGAAGGCAGCCUGCUGGGCCUUUAUUGACGCUGAGGCACGAAAGCGUGGGGAGCAAACAGG